GACGAACGCUGGCGGCGUGCUUAACACAUGCAAGUCGAACGGAAAGGCCCUGCUUUUGUGGGGUGCUUGAGUGGCGAACGGGUGAGUAACACGUGAGUAACCUGCCCUUGACUUUGGGAUAACUUUAGGAAACUGGGGCUAAUAUCGGAUAGGAGCUCCUGCUGCAUGGUGGGGGUUGGAAAGUUUCGGCGGUUGGGGAUGGACUCGCGGCUUAUCAGCUUGUUGGUGGGGUAGUGGCUUACCAAGGCUUUGACGGGUAGCCGGCCUGAGAGGGUGACCGCCCACAUUGGGACUGAGAUACGGCCCGGACUCCUACGGGAGGCAGCAGUGGGGAAUAUUGCACAAUGGGCGGAAGCCUGAUGCAGCAACGCCGCGUGCGGGAUGACGGCCUUCGGGUUGUAGACCGCUUUCGCCUGUGACGAAGCGUGAGUGACGGUAAUGGGUAAAGAAGCACCGGCUAACUACGUG
Molecule: ribosomal RNA, 468 nt
Filed under: uncultured bacterium
Lineage: Bacteria
Description: partial 16S ribosomal RNA
Rfam family: Bacterial small subunit ribosomal RNA
Source: RNAcentral